RNAcentral lists this ribosomal RNA (115 nucleotides) under Danio rerio (zebrafish). Lineage: Eukaryota; Metazoa; Chordata; Actinopteri; Cypriniformes; Danionidae. The record is from RNAcentral.
UCCGGCAGCUAGCUCUCUGCAACUCUCACAUGGUCGCCCACUGAAGCUAAGCAGGGCUGCGCCCGGUCAGUACCUGGAUGGGAGACCACUUGGGAAAGCUAGGUUGCUGCCGGAA